This 467-nucleotide ribosomal RNA is filed under the name uncultured bacterium. RNAcentral's name for it is "partial 16S ribosomal RNA". It matches the Rfam family "Bacterial small subunit ribosomal RNA", at positions 28 to 507 of the family's 1533-position model. The record is from RNAcentral.
GAUGAACGCUGACAGAAUGCUUAACACAUGCAAGUCAACUUGAAUGUUGGGUUUUAACUUCGGUUGGGGUUGCGGACGGGUGAGUAACUCGUAAAGAGCUUGCCUCACUGCUAGGGACAACAUUUUUAAACGAAUGCUAGUACCUAAUAUUAUGAUAAUAGGACAUCCUAUAAUUAUGAAAACUAUAAGCGCUGUGAGAGAGCUUUGCGUCCAAUGAGCUAGUUGGAGAGGUAACGGCUCACCAAGGCGAUGAUGGGUAGCCGGCCUGGGAGUGUGAUCGGCCACACGGGGCCUGAGGCGCGGCCAGUACUCAUACGGGCGGCAGCAGCGAGGACUAUUCGACAAUGGACCGAGAGUCUGAUGAAGCUAUUCUGUGUGCAAGAUGCAGUUUUUCGGAAUGUACAGUGCUUUAAGUUACGAAGAACGACAUGACGGUACCAAAAGAAGAAGUGACGGCUAACUACGUG